UACUUUUUUUUUUUUUUUUUUUGUCAGCAACGAUACAUUUGUAUAACCUACUCUAUCCUAAUCUAGGGGGAGGGAGAGCCUAAGGAGGCUGUGGGUAUACAGACCUAACUAGACCAAGGGAGUGAUCUGGCACAACCCUUAGAUUUUUUUCUCAAUGUACUUGCAAAUGGCAUUAUUAUAUCUUGACAUCGUGUUAACAUCUUUUCUCUAUUUGGCAUUAUUAUAUUUAAUGCUGAUAAAUCCUAGACAUGUUUGGCUGGCUGCAUCUGCAAAAAGAAUGUACUUGUAUAUGACUGAAGUUCGUCUUAUGAUUUCCUUGCUUGAUCGCAUUUGAUGAAGAAAUAGAAAAUGUAUUCCGAUUGAUUAAAGGAAUUGAGGUGAUCUAUGAAAGGAAAACCCUAAUACCUUUUUAAGCAGCCAUGUGAGUACUGAAUUAAUUAGUGAUGAUCAACAUUGGCACAGUUAGCGUACGUGCAAUAAAAUGAGACUUGAAAAGAUGAUGGCAUCGGAACUUAAAAAAAAGUUACAAACACUGUUUGGAAGAAUGAAAAGAUGAAAUAGACGACGGUGAUCAAGCUUUGUACUUAACACUUAUUGGUCGCUUAAUCCUGUUUAUAUUUGUUGUAAAUGAGCGUAAUAUUGGAAGGAUGUUUGAAGUAAAAGAUUUGUGUGGCAGUGGAACCAAGAAAAAGAUUUGUAAGUAUUGAUUGUAGUUUUCAAGCUUAAGAUCUCAAUAGCUGAUGAUGAUUCUGUGAUUUCUAGAGCGCAUUGAAAGCGUUUAUCUUGUCAUCAUUCAGGUAAAUAUUUGGUGCUUGCUCUAAUUUCAUCAUGAGCUUCUUUCUUUCUUUCUUUCUUUUGGCUGGUCGUGCCAAGUCGUUGUCUCUUUUUUGAAUAUAAAUGAAAAACAAUUAUUAAGAUUCAUCGAGUCUAUAAGGGAUAGAUGAUAUUUAUCAUUUUCUUGGUUCCAACUUAAUUACGUAGCCAUAUUUUCCUCCUGGUCUCUAUUUGUGUAAAAAUGCUACUACUAUUUCUUUUUCCCAACUAUAUAUAUAUAUAUAUAUAUAUAUAUAUAUAUAUAUAUAUAUAUAUAUAUUAUGUAACAAUUUUCAUUCCAUAGACUUCAAAGCCAGCCUUCAAUAUGUAGCUAAUCUGUUUCUUGCCAAUAUAUAUAUGUAUAGUGUGUGUGUGUGUGUCGCAUAAUCCGGAAAUUAAAGUGAUUCGUUCUCACGUCUCGCACCUAAUUACUACUAAUUACGCGCUGUAUGUAUAUUUGAAGAUCAAGUUCAUCACGUAACUUUCACUUGAAACUGUGAUUUUAUGUUGCUUAAGCUACCAACAGCCGACGCAAUGUAGCAGAUGAUACACUACUGACAUUUGAUUUACCAUGGUUGGAACCCCAUUAUGAAUAGCAUGACUACUACUCAAACGGGCAAACCCCAGAAGAAGAAGAUAUCCCGAUGACAAGCUUCGAGACAAAUCUCCCUGUUUCUUAGUUCCCCAAAAGAAAAAAACAAACCAAAAAAAAGAAAAAGAGAGAGACAAAUCUCCCUGUUUCUCUCUGAUCCCCUCUGUGUCAAACGAAAUUGGCCAGACAAGUACGACACGACCGGCCAUAACCUAGUCGAGCGAGUACAUACUCAGAUCAGGGACAAACCGUCUAUGAUUGAGAUAAGGUGACCCCGUGAAAACAAUAAUUGCAAUUUGUAGCUCCAAAAUUAAACAGGAAGAAGAAGCACACGAACAAUCCCAUCGCAGCACAUCUCUACAUUAGCUUUCCUUCCAACCCUUUAUUAUUAAGUUUUUUUUUCUUUUUUUUUUGGGGGAGAGAAAAGAGGGGGGGGGGGUCUUUAACGCUCAAAGAAUCUCUUCCUUCUCCUUUACCAGUAAUUACUAGUCCCCACCCCACCACUACAAAAAGAUAAGGUGCGAACCGAUUAAGAGAUCACUCAGAAGCACAUUAUGGCUAACCCUUUUAACUACGACCACUACUGCUUUUCUUGCACGGUCUUAUCACUGCUCAUUUCGCUGCAUGCGGCGGCUACCAUUGCGAGCCAAGUGCAGGCGAAUAGCGCAACAACUCCACCUCUUCCCAUCCUUCCGCUGCCUUCCUAUUCUCAACUGAAAUGGCAGCAGAGAGAAAUCAUCAUGUUUUUCCACUUUGGAGUCAACACAUUCACGGACUCCGAGUGGGGCACCGGGCAAGAAAACCCGGCCAUCUUCAAUCCAACAGUCCUAGACGCCGCCCAGUGGGUUGAUACGGCCGUUCAAGCUGGCGUUUCUCUGGUCAUACUUACUGCUAAACAUCACGAUGGCUUUUGCUUAUGGCCCUCUAAAUACACCGAUCAUUCCGUCAUCAGCAGCCCUUGGCGAAAUGGCAAGGGGGACGUCGUUCAAGAGCUUGUCAAUGCAGCCAACCCUCGCGGGGUGGACGUCGGAUUGUACCUUUCUCCGUGGGAUCGUCAUGAUCCAAGAUACGGCAAGAAUAAGGAGUACAACGAAUACUACCUGGCUCAGCUACAAGAAUUACUACGCAAGUGAGUCGAUACGCUCGCUUUUUCAGAACUGUUUCGGUUUGAUUUUUAUGGGUUUAUUUGUUUGAUUAUUAUUAUUGUUGUUGUGACUGGGCGAUGACAGAUACGGAAGUGUGAAGGAAAUAUGGUUUGACGGAGCCAAGGGUUCCAAUGCACCAAACAUGACGUAUGAUUUCGGCGACUGGUUUUCAUUGGUGAGGGAACUGCAGAGCUCCAUCAACAUAUUCUCGGAUGCUGGUCCGGACGUCAGGUGGGUCGGAAAUGAGCAAGGGUUCGCCGGAAGCACAUGCUGGUCCACCAUUAAUCGAACUGCCUUAUCAAUUGGCAAUGCUAGUAUCGUCGGGUAAGUAAACUCUUACAUGAUAGUAGUUCCAUCUAGCUAUCUCCCUUUCAUUAAAAAAAAGAAAAAGAAAAAGAAAAAAGAAGCUAAUUAAUCUACGAGAUUUAGAAUCUUUAGAAUCAAAGAGGCAGACCAUCCAUCUUUAACUUUGUUUCCAGCCAAAUAUUUGAUGAUUUUGUCAAUAAUGAAUAACACUUGGAAUUUAGUGCGAGACAAUCAUGCAGAGAAUCUCCUUGUCUUUUCUCUAUUCUAGAUGAUGAGUUAUUGACAAGGUAAACAUGUCCAGUAUCUUGACCUUUACAUUACGAUUGAAAAAAAGUAUUCUUAAAUUCUCGCUCAGAUUAUUAUUAUUAUUAUUUGUAGGUGUUAUUAUUAUUAAUAUUAUGAUAUUAUUUGUACAAAACCAAAACAUUUCUGUUGAUGCCAUCAACAGAAAUGAAUAGUAAUAUUUCUAGCUUGCAGUCAAAACAUCAUGGAUUUUAACCCAUAACUUUAAACAUUAAUGUUAUUCAUGAUUAACGGCAUUAUUUUUCUUAUCCUGCACAAUCAAUAAUCCAGUCUUAGCCAUUAAUCACUGUUAUACAAUCAGUAAACAUCAGAAGAAUUGACAUUGACAGUGCGAACACGGCACUAGAAAAUAAGAAGCUAAGAAGAUGCCGGGACUGGGGAGUAACAUUUACGAUAAAAGUAACGUAAGAUCCACAAAAGAAAAAAGAUACAUUUUUUUUUUUUUUUCCAAAUCGAAUCGAAUAAUGCUUAUUUUUCGAUAAUAAAAUGGUGCAGUUAUCUCAACACCGGCGAUCCCAAAGGCACCGACUGGCUACCUCCCGAGUGCGACGUCUCAAUUCGAACCGGGUGGUUUUGGCAUAAAUCCCAAUCCCCCAAGCCACUCCACCAACUCCUUCAAAUUUACUACAAUUCCGUCGGAAGAAAUUGCGUCUUACUCCUUAACGUGCCCCCUAAUCCCACAGGCCUCAUUUCCGAAAGCGACAUUCUGAGGCUCAGAGAAUUUAGAAAAGCAGUUGACACCGUAUUCUCCUCCAAUCUGGCUGAAAACUGUUCCGUUACUGCCAGCAGCCAACGAGGAGGUAAAGGAGGCGGUUUUGGCCCAGAAAACGUCGUGGACGGGGACCACCUGUGGACGUACUGGGCCCCCAGUGACGAUGACGACGACAAAGAACAUCACUGGAUAGAAUUCAGAGCCUCCGACGGACCGCUGAGAUUCAAUGUGGUUAGGAUUCAGGAAGCGAUCGGGUUGGGGCAGAGGAUCCGACAGCACGAAGUGUACGCGGAUGGGAAGAGGAUUGCCAGCGGAACGACGGUGGGCCACAAGAGGCUGCACAGGCUGGAAAAGGGUGCGGUGCACGCUCUCAGCGUAAAGAUAAAAAUCACGGGAUCACGGGCAACACCCUUGCUAUCUUCUGUGGGUCUGCAUUUUGAUCCCUUUUGGCACCCAAAUCCAAAUGGCAAGCCUCCAUCCAAAUUCGUCCAUUAGUAAGAAAAAGAUAUGUCGUCUGUGCGAAGAGGCCGCUGAAACCUCUGUUUUAACUGCGGGCGGACCUUAUGAUGGAUGGAUGCAUCCAUUAUCUCUGUGUACCGGGCCUUUUGGCCUCCAUCCAAAUAAUUAUUAGUAUAUACGAGGGUUCCGUUCUAUGAUGAAUUAUGUGUUGUAAAAUGACGGAAGGGGCAAACAAUUGCUUUCGACACACACCUAUAAUCAUCGUUACAAGGACUAAAGCAAAACAAUCCCGUGGGAAUCCAGGAGCCUGUCAUCCAGGCUUUGUACUCUCCAACCGCAAUAUUUGAGACAAACAGAUUCAUGCAUGCUGUUAUCGAAUGUAUUAUACAAGUUCUUACAACAACAUUGACAGCGCCCUUGCCAACAAAAAUCCGAGCACAUUCCUCAACCCGUUGUUGAACUAGAGGGGUCAAAGUAUUACAGUAAAUCACAGAAUUCUAAAGCGGCUUUGUGUUGAAAUUGAAACAUGUGCAUAUAAAGCUUUUGUAGGCACUCACCAGUCUCCAUUCACCAAUAACUUGUCUGAACUGUACGCUUGUGAGCCGCUGCAGCUUACUAUGCUUGUAUUGUACCCCCCCCAAAACAAAACUGCACCUACUGCUGCCUGCCACCGCAACGAUGACAAGCAGUAGCGAGUUCGCACAACCGAUUGAUGACACGGACUUGGACAAAUUUCAUGCUGAUGAGCAAGAAUUUUUCACUGGCGGCUUUGGCCGUCUUGUUCUUCAACAUCUUGUCGUCCACUUUUUAGCUGAAUUCUUCGUUCCUAUGUGCAUAACCAUUUGGCAUAUACUCAUAACAGGGAAAAAAAAAAAAAAAGGGAGAAUGAUUGUGGAGAUCUCACCAAACUAAAUAAAUAAAUUAGAGCAACACGUCACCCCCAUUUCACUGAUAUUCUGGUUCUGUCAUAGCUGACAAAAAGGCAACGACCUUUUGCAAUUCUGUGAAUUUUACUGGGGCUUUGUUCAAUUCUGCCAUGAAGCAUGUCCUCCUCAUUUAGGAGUCAUUACUAUUAACAAAGAUACGUCAGUCACACGGACACCUUUUCCUCUUCUGAACAUUUUUCUGUUUCUGUGAGUAAAUUGGAACAAGUACAAAAUUCACCGAAGGAUUUCGAAUAUGAAGGGAAAUAGGGAAAAAAAAAAACAUAAAGAUAAUCAAUAAACAGUUCUUGAUGAUUCUCAAAGUUUCAUCAGUAAGUGGGAGAUGCCAAGCAAUCAAGUUACCCACAGUUGACAAUGUGAAACUGCAACACGUAAAUGUCUUGGCCCUUAUAGAAAACCCUCGAUACCUCGUCCUGCUUGUACUUCUCUAUAUAUGAGCAAGGCUUCUUCCAUAACUUUUGCUUGAGCCAAUAACUGAGCUCUCUUUUUUCCUGACGGGUGAGUAGAAAGAUAAUCCCGUAGUGCUGAUUCACCCGUUACUUUACCCAGCUUCUCAAACACCCUGGGAGCCACUCGAGGAUCAUACCCUGCCGAAGCCAUUAAAAGUAGACCAAUGUAAUCUGCUUCCAUCUCCAUCCUACAAGGGAACGUAAAUGUAAGUGACAACAAGUUGUACAAGGUUAUCAAAGGCAAGAAAUGAAAAUACAAACCUGGCAGAUUAAUCAGCAAGUAAUGCCUAGCCAAUUAAAAUUCAAUCACAAGUUUGCAUUAUUUUGGUCACCAGUGGUGCAGCAAUACUUCAGACUUCAGAGAGUAACCAAGACAUAGACUGAAUGCAGUUGUUAAGAAGUUUCUCCAGAGCUUUCAAUAUCUAUAAGAAUGAAGACACAAUUGUUCUUCUUUCCUAGUGGUCCCAAGAAGUUUGAGCCAUAAAACAUAUUCAAGUUAAGUUAAAUACAGUCAAAAUCUCUCAGUCAAAAUCUCUCAAUCACCUUUAUCUGGUUCAAGAAUCUCAAAGAUUAAAGUACUUCUCUCCCAUGCUAUAUACCCCGCCUCUCCCUCCCUGUUUGUUGCACUUGAACGCCAUAAAUAUAUAGAACAUAACUCCAUGCCUCCCAGUGCUUUUCCACUCUUCUCUUAUACUUCUAUGUGCCACAAUUCGUUUUUCUGUAUACAAGAAGGUUAGUCUUGGUCUCUUUUGUUUUACAAUUUUAUUAGAAAUUGUUUGUGAAUGAAGUCACAUGCAGCAAGACUAACUUAAGGUAAUGUGGCUCAACAACUGUGAUAGAUGAGGUACUCAAUGAAGAUCUAGAUUAAAAUGCACUAUACAAUGUCCUGUAUUACUAAAUAGUUUCCUGAACUCGUAUCCUGCCAAAUGAACUGAUUACUGACAGGUUAAUUCUGAAAAUAGCUUGUUACCCAUCUUCCAAAACAACAACUUACAAGAAUAUAGUCAUAUACAGAUUAUAACACAGUAUUUAAAGGGAAAAAUGGGUAUAGCUAAACUGAUAGCUGGCACGACAAGGCUCCCUCUAUCAAACAAUUCUAAGCAUGUAUAGGCAGGGAGAGUGAGAAAAUACCCUGUUUCUUACUUUCCAAACAUUUAGCAUUCAGUAUGAGCUAGUGGAAAGAAAGUACAGAUUCAACAUUUCUCCACAAACCUACCACAUAGACCAAUAUAACUCUUAGUAUUUGGAAUGGCAGUCCAAAAGUAAUCAAUCUACAGAAAUGGUUCUCAUAUAUAUCAGACAGCAUUCCUAACAAAAACUGGAAAAUCCUAUGUUAUUCCCAGGUACAUAAAUAGAGAUAAUAAGACGUGUGAGAGAAAGGAAAAAGCAAAGAGCACAGCAAUAAGAAUAGCAACCAAAGCAUCACAUUAACUGAAGCCAAAGGCUUGUCUCUAACAAGGUUUCAGUUGCAAGCAUGGUUCGCCAUCGCGGGUCGCGGUCGCGUCGCGGUCUCGAUUGUUCCACAUCCGUCGCGACAUAUCGGUUGAAUAUCGGAUGAUACGAACAUUAUAACACAUUAAAGUUUCCAAAAAUUUUGAAAAAUUAUUAAAAUUAGAAAAUAUUAAAAAAGACAUAAUUUAAAAAAAUAUCGGAGUCGACUCCGAGUUGACUCGGGUAUAUCGGCCGAUAUCAUGCAUCACGGAUUCGAAUCGGUCAAUAUCGGUUGAGUCAGAGCGAGUCAUCGCGGAUAUGGUGAUAUCCGCGUUUCGGGUAUCGGUAUCGGAACGGUAGGGACCGUUCCGGUUACGACUCGGCCGAGUCGUCUCGGACUCGGCCGAGUUGGCGAACCUUGCAAGCCUAAGACAUUUACAUCUCAAAAGCAUGGCACCUUUCAGUAUCCAUAAUGCACGUAAGGAUAGUAUGUAAACAAGCAAUCAAACAUAUAGCUCAAAAGGUCACCAUCUGCAAAAUCAAAUUUUUAGGCACAUAUGUUGGCAUCACUGAUAGGGAGCUCUUGAAUCUUAGGACAAUGCAAAAAGUUAUAGAGAUAUGACAUGAUGUGAGAACCCAGUGUCCUUAGCACAACAAUAACGAUGUUAGCAAAUCAAACUUUGAAGCUUUUAUAUUAAAGAAAAGCUGCCAUACAAAUCGUACACAUUAAACAUUUACCUCCUUGAGAAAGGAAGCCGUAGGAAAAGAUUAGACAUUGUAUUGACAACAUCAGGCAUGACAAAUUGAUAUAAAAUCAAUUGCACAAUCGCAAACCACAGGUUUUUAGUAAUUCCUUCAGCAGCAUGUCUAGCCACAGCAUGAGCAACCUAUCGAGCAAAAGGUUUCAGCUAAUUCAGAACAACUUGAUUAAAUGUGCUAAGAGAAACAAAAUUACAAUUCAUUAAAUAUGCCAAAAAUACAAAAUAAUACUAAUUGAUUAAAUGUGCGAAAAGCACGAAAUUAUACCUCAUGUCCAAGUAUAGUUGCAAUCUCAGCAUCAGUUCUAAAAUGCUCAAGCAACCCCGUGAAAACUACAAUCUUACCACCAGGCAAACAAAAUGCAUUCACAACAGGUUCAUUAACCACCAAAACCUCCCAAUUUAAACCCUCCAAAUGUCCAGUUGCAGGUGACUUCCCCUUCUCUUGACCGCUCUUCCGGCUUUGUUGGACCCACUUAUCAUCAAGGAUCUCAUCCUCCCUGUUCCAUUUCCCUUCAGUGGUAGACAUAUUAUCACUCAAUGCCAUCAAGGUCUCAUGUCCACUGUUCUCAUCUGGCUCAUAUGCAUGGUCAGAUGCAUAGCCAGGAUCAGUCCACACGUGCUCCUUGCUCAGCCCUCGUUGCAGAGCCUCGAUGAGGUCUUUUGCAAUCAACCUCACUCUAACACUCUCCGGGUGGAUGGGUGGCAGAAUUUUCCCCUUGAACGCCUUUUUCAUGUCCUGGAACUGAUGCUCCCCAAGCUGUCUCUCAAGACCUUUGGACAAAAGCACAAAAUGGGUUCUUUUGGUAUAAGGAACAGUUUCCAAGUUACCAAAAUAAACAGUAAUCACCACCCCUGAACCCACCAAAAUCACAAUGAACACAUUUCUUGGAUUCUGAAACCAUUUUUUGUACCCUCGGGGCCGAAAGUGAUAAAUUUGGUGCCGAUCAACAUAGUAAUAUCUUCUUGCCCCACCUAAAGAAGGGCGGCACUGAUUUUGCUUGAGCCCCAAUUGAAAACCUGAGUUUCUGAAAAUUGGUGCACAAAGGCCAAAUCCGUUAGCCCUGGAUGUGUUACCGGUGGAAGUAUAAGAAGCAUACUGUGGCUGGUAGGGCUUUGGAAGGGAGUUUGUGAUCGGGCUUUUGGGCACAAUCUUAGUAGUGAAGGUCUUAAAGGCAUCAACUAAUCUAGAUCUUCUGUACCAUGCCAUGGUGUCGCAAAUUGCAAUAAAUGGGCAUUAAUCAGGUCACAAAAUCAUCUUCUGAGGGUUUUGUUGAGAACAAAUUGAGAAACUCGGAUAUGAAGAGGGGAAGAAGAGAGAGAGAGGAAUUGGAAGGUCAAAAAUGGGAACUUGAGGGAAGGGCUUUAAAAUUUAAUAUUUUGUGAUGUUUUGGGACGUAAAAGAGUGGAGUGGGUGACCGUGGAGAAUGAUGCAUUGAGGAAAUCAGGGGGACGAGUCUGGAAGACUGGAACUGUGUAUCGACCAGUUCGGAUGUUGUCCCACGUCCGUAGGAGAAGCAACUAGUAUAAAGCAGCGGGGAAAAGAAACGAAGAAAGAAACUCUUCUUGCUAGUGCCCGGCAGCCGUAAUAUCCUACGUGCCUUUUUUUUUUUUUUUAAAUUAUGGUCAUUGUAGUGUAAAGAAACUCUUUUAGAGCAGUAUUAUAAAUUUAUAAAUAAUCAACCAUUCUCAAUAACUCCAGUCCGUGCAAAUUCAAGGAAAGGAGCAGUGUGCCUCCUCAUUCGAUCCUAGCACAGAAGUACCCAUCUGAGUUUUUUCUGCAACAGCACAAGUUUAGAGUAAGAAUUUGCAGUAAAUGGCUUGUUAGAAGAAUUUGCUCAUAUCAGUUUUGGCAGAACUUUUAUUUUUCUUUAUUAUCCGAAACUGUGUGAAAGAAAUUGGAAAUUUUCUUCUUUUUUUUAAUCAGUAGGAGAAAAUUUCUUGGACAUUUUAGCUGCAUAGACCUUGCCAAGUUCUUCCUCCCGCGAGUACUACUACGCAAUUUAUCAAUGAUAAGUUUUCAGUGUAUUAUACAUAAUUACAUAGCACUAGCGUCCGUUUCAGCGAAGGAAGUUUAUUUGAGUACUGAAUUUACUGUUCAGUUUUCUUUUCGUUAAACCGUGUGGCCAUUCUGUGUAGCGCUCAGGUCAGUGCUCCAUAGAUCCUCGUUUCCAUCGACUUUUCUUCCCCGCUGCUAACGCUACACGGUCCAUGAUGAUUAAGAGGAGGCACAAAAAAAAAGAGGAGCAGGAGGAAAAAUUAUCCAGCGCGUCCGACGUUUUUCAGCGAAAAUAAAAUAUAUCUCCCAAACAAUCUAAGAUGAUUCGAUAAUUAAUUGAAGAUACACUGAGCUCUAUCGCAGAUUGAAGAUACAAAUCUCGCAGUUUCUGCAAAAUCAAGGACCUAAGAUGGGGAACCCAGCAAAACCCCCAAAACUCUAUUGUAGAAUUAUCUCCUGGGAAAAAAAUGGGACAUACAUAGAAACCGAAACAUACAGGCACGAGAAAUGGGAUGCACCUACUAAAAAAUUGUCAAUUGAAUUGCUUAAUUAAGAAGACAGAAUAACUCAUAAAAACCACCACAAAAUUUCAAGCUGCCAUUUUGGCAAGAAAACUUCACCAUUUACGGCUGUUAUUUCUGAAACCUCCCCCACCGCUUGGACUUUUGGAGAACUGACCAUUCCUCCUAUCAGAUGAACCGCCUCUUCCCCCUCUUCCCCCAGAGAACCGAUUACCACCCCCCCUCCUAUCAGAAAAGCCACCACGACCACCACUCCCAAAUCUUGCACCUCUUACCUGGUCUCUGUCUUGCAACCGUGGCAAUAACUUCACAACAUCCAAGCUAACCCCACCAGCACCUUCCUGGCCUGCACCGCCACAAGUGGAGGAAAAAUACUUUUUGAGUACAAAAACUAAAUCAAGAAAUACAAGUAUUUCCAUUUUUAGGAAGGCAAUAGUUGCAAUUUCAGUGACCCUCUGCCAUUCAUAGGUGUCAGAAAUUUCAUCUUAUUAAUUGAAAGAUGAAUCUUUGUCAUGAAUAAUAUUGCAAAUCACCUCUAAUAUUACCAAGACCACAUUAUUUCUAUAUCAAGGGGUAAAGAAUGAAAUGUACCCUUGAGAAACAAGUCCAGAUCUUCAGCAGCCACAUCAAACACGGCCCCUUUUCCAUCAGCCGUUAAAGCAAGACCCUUAAUUGACUCGACCUUUUCUUCAGGUAAGAACCUUCGCAGCACGCUGUAAGCAAAGCUGCCACAAGAAGACAUCAAAAGGAUUAUUAAGGCAGAGAAUGACACACAUAAAAAAGCACAAACAAUUGCUCAAAAACUCCACUCUAUAUCAUGCCUACAUGCAGAACACUAGGAUGCAGUUUCUAAGUUUUGGACCAUAGUCCAAUACCUUUUUUGUUUUUGAGGCAAAGCGAAAGCAAAAGUAACACAGUAUUAGCUAAAAUUCAAGACUCAUCCCAUGUUAACAUGCAUUACAAUCGGCAUAAGAAACUUUUAUCUACAAAGAACAAGUUUCAAUCUCCAACUUAAGAAUCAAAUCACUGCACAUUAUGUUGGCCAAUUUAAAAAUGGUACGCUCACAAUCCAAAAACAAGUCAGCCAAAACCAUCUAGCCCAAAAUUGUUAUCUGUAUAAUGUGGGAAAAUGCAAAGUGUUUGUUUUCAUAUUCAUUCCGAAUUUGCUUUCUGGCAAUAAGGGAAACUGAGAGAAUAAUAAUCUCAAGGGGUUUUACAUGCCAAGAAAAAACCAAGUCAGUCGAGCACAAGCAGCGGCACUAUCAAGAUUAAAUCUAAAAGGAUUCUAGUGCUUACGAGGGCGUGUAGAUGGGCCUUCCACACUCCAGUAGUAACGUGACAUGGUUUUCCAUGGAAGUAAGAAUUGAACGACUCUUGAUCUCUGAAUAACCCUGCCCAACAUGUAAAACUGAAUUCAUCAGCUGCUGCACUAUAAGAAAUUGACAAUAUGUACCUAAUAUAAUACAGAGAGAGAGAGAAACCUACAGCAGCCUUGGCAAGAGCUUUUGCAAGAAGUUCUACUGGGGAUAAAUUAGAGUUGUUCAGUAGCUCCUCUGCAGCAGCCUUAAAUGCCGGAAUGACGCUGCAAUUUUACAUUAUAUGCAAAAGUAUAAGCUGGAGUAAAGUACUUUAAAACAAACUUGAAUGAGUAGUAUAUGAACCUGUCAGAGAUUUGGGAAAUUUUUUCUGCAGCUUCUGCACCAGCUGCUUCAGCAAUAUCAGCUGGCUGUGGAGCAGAUACAUGUUCAAACUUCACACCACAUUCUCUUUCUAUCUUAGAAAUGUUUGAUCUCCUAGGAUCAUAAAGCAUUACAGCAACACCAGUGUUCCCUGAAAGAAAGAGGCAAGACGAUCAAUAGGCAUUCAACAUUUCAAACAUCCAAAGUCACUGAUAUCCAAGGAUCCACAACUCACCCGCUCUGCCUGUACGUCCAGAACGAUGGAUAUAUGCUUCUACAUCUCGUGGGGGCUCACACUGCAAAAUUAAACAUCACUGCAUACAAUAAGUAACAAGGUUUUACAAUCAAGAAAUGCGAGAUAUUUGGAAUAGUAAAGACAAACCUGGAUUAUCAACUGGACAUUGUCAAUGUCCAAUCCACGUGCUGCCACAUUUGUGGCCACUAAUGUGGUGAACUUUCCGGAUCUGAAGCCACUGAGUGUAACCUGAAUGCAAGGUGGUUUUCAUCAGUCAAAAGCUGAAGACAUCAACCUAAAAAUCUAAACUUAGAUUCAACCAAUAGGAAUAUACGAGAUUGUCCAAACAUAUGGUACAAUAUCUUAUACUUGACACUAGAAAGUCAGCAGAAAGAUAACAGUGAAUUUUGUGUGCCAAAAUGACUUAUAACUCAGCAUCAUUUCCUAUUGGCAAGAGUUGUGGCUCCUUAAUUUACUGCUUUUCCUCCACCCAAUUACAGUUUAAUAUAGAAGUAUUCCCAUAAUCGGGAACUGGACUGAGAAAUAAGGGGGCCAGAAAAAAUAAUCAACAGUAUUGGAAACCUUUAAUUUCAUUUAGUUCCCAAAAGCGCACACUUUACCUCUCGCUGGGACUGCUGUAUGUCACCAUGCAAAGCACGUGCUCCUGGCAAUAAGCCAGCAAGUUCAGAAGCUGAAUCCUUUGUCUCAGUGAAAAUAAUAGUUUGACCUCCUCUGAAUCAACAAAAUCGUAUGGUAAUACAUCAGGAUGCACUUCAUUAACUUCAUGAACAGGCAAAACUUUUAGCAAAAGAAUAUUGACCAGAAAAAACCUGCUAUAGCAAUGAAUAAUGUCAGGAAUAAGUUGGGCUCUUGCUGAAGUAGAGCAAGGCAGGACAAUAUGCCUGACACUUGCACUAGCCUUCAUUUUCUCAUUGCCAAUUAGGUCUACAGUUUUCUUAUCAGGUUUCAGGAACUUGGCUGCAAUCUGAACAUGCAAAUCAAAUGUCAGCCUUGUAGGAGUGUAGGAGAAGUACAAAGGUAGGUUGCAAAACAGCAUCUAGCAACAGAGAGCAGAACUUCUCUAAUCCAGAAAAAAAGCUAAAAAUGAUUUCCCGUUUUAAACUCUGAUCUCAGUAUGAAGAUAGUGAUACUGAGCAAUAGAAAAGGACAUACUUGCUUCACCCAAUCAGGUAACGUGGCGCUAAAAAGGAGUGUUUGAACUUCGCUUGCACUUUCAACCUUGCCUUUGGAAGUUCAAAAGCAAAGUGUCAUUGACAGUAGUAAAAAACAAAAUACCAGCAAACUUAACAACAUCCAAGCAUCUAAAAGAGAACUAUUAAAAUAAUUUACAUACCUAGAAUAAACUCAACAUCGUCAACAAAACCCAUCUUCAGCAUUUCAUCAGCUUCAUCAAGAACACGGAACCUCAAUGAGCUCAAGUUGAUAUUUUCCCUCUCUAUGUGAUCCUGUAGCGUUCCCAAAGGCAAACAAUCACUCGUCAGAACAACUCAAAUUUCCGCAAACCUAGAAAAGAUGAUGUAGCAAUAAAGCAUGGUACCUUAACACGGCCAGUAGUGCCUACUACUAUGUCAACCCCUCUUUUUAGUUGAAUCUCUUGCUGUCUGUAAGGGGAUUGCCCGUAUAUACAACAAGAUGUCAGACCCAAUGCUCCACCAUACAGUUCAAAGUCAGUAAACACCUAACAAAUGGGAGUAAAAGAGGAGGAAACAAGAUAAGGCAACAGAAUUUGGUGGAGGUGACCAAAAUCCACAAAGGUUUUAUAAGGAGAGUUCCCAGGAUCAUACCUGGCAGGCCAAUUCCCUAGUGGGUAAAAGUACAAGAACACUAGGUGCCCUCCCGUAUCCAGUCUUUCGUGCUGCUUUUGCAGGUCCAUUUGUCAAGGACUCCAGUAUAGGCAGCACAAAGGCCAACGUUUUACCCUAUAUUUAAAAACAAAAAUUUCAUCAGCCUAAAUUAACAAAUUUAUCCAGAAUAAUUUCAAGAAAAACGAAGCUAGGAACAGUCCAAGACCCCACUUUUAUUUUACCCAUGCUAUUCGGAAACAUUCUCUCCAAGCUCAUACAAGAUUCUUGUGCAAAUAUUUAUAAUUAGUACUCAAAAAGGAAUACUGCAGAAUUACAAAGGGAAUAUACCUGACCAGUGCGAGCUCGACCGACCAAAUCAGACCCAUCCAAAACGGUAUCAAAAGUCAUGGCCUGAAUCGGAAACAAAUAUUCAAUUCCCUUUACUUUCAAUGCCUCUCUCAACCUCUCCGAUAUCCUAAACUUCGUUAAAGCAUUCGGAUGCUCCUCUUUCACACUCUUCUCCUCAUCAUCUUCGUCUACCUCCGUUAACUUAGCCUUUUUCUUCAUCAAAUUCAUCGGCUCCCCCAACUCCGAGCUCGUAUCACUCCUCUCCUCUUCAUUGACAUUGUCACCGUCAAUCACCGCCGCCUUUCGCUUCUUCUCCUUCUUCUUCUGCUUCUUCAGUUCUUCGGAAUCAGAGUCCGAAUUACUGAUCUUGGUCUUUUUUGACUUCUUCUCUUUCUUAAAUUUUUGCUCCAUGGAAGAGUCCAAUUCAGGGGAUUUUUGAGCCUCGGCUUCGGCGUUUUUCGCUUUCUUCUUUUUCCUGUCUUUGGAAAUCUCUGAUGAACAGUUUCCAGAAACGGCUAAUGAAGGCAUGACGUUACCUUAAGGCUUAAAGUAUGGAAGUCUGUGUAUCGGUAGGUGAGUUAGUGCGUGUUUUCUUGUUCUCCUGCUAUCGAAGGUGAAUUGCACUGGAACUGCAAUUGCAGGAGAGCAGAAACACAAAAAAGAGGGAAGAAAACGUUCUAGGGUUUGAGAAUUUAUAGGCUGCGGCGGUGAGGCAUCGGGACCGUUGGAUUGUGGCUGUUUUUUCCAGCUUCAUUCUACUGCUUAAUUGCCGUUAGAUCGCAACGCUAAUUAGUUGCCAGCAGUGUAUUUGUAGUAAUUCUCCGGAUCAAGAACGAAAAUAAGCAGAAAUUAAAAAGGGUCAAAGCUUAAUACCCGCAGCUGGUACUUGGGCCUUUGCGUAAGAAUUUCGAUGCCCCAUAAUUAAAAAAGCCCAAGUUGGCCUGACGUCAUAAGCGUUGCAACAGCGCUACACAUCAUUACUUAUUGGGCCAUAAUCAGAUUUGGUCCAAUUUGAAGCACAUAGGGCAAAAAGAAAUAAAAAGGGGUGGUUUGGUAAUGUUUAUGUUGGUCAAAUUCUACUAACAAAAUCCUAAAAGCAAGCAUUUGUUAGAAUUGUUCAUGUUUUUAUAACAUAAUAAUAGAAACUUUUUAAAAAGAGGGGAAAAUUAUUGCAUUUAAUUUUGUUACGAGAAUUGCAUCUUCUACGGCUUUUGAAAAGCUAAACAUGCAUAUUUAUUCCCAAAGUUCUUGAAACUCCCAUGCUCUAGGGAUGCGUUUGAUAAAAUUGAAGUUUGAAUUUAUUAAAUUAUUGAAUUAUUAAGUAUUAAAUUUAAUACAUUUGAGUGCAUAUCACAUUCAGUAAUAAGUGAAUAGUUUAUCACUUAAUUUUAGAAGCAAGUUUUGUCUAGAAAAUUUAGUGUCAUUUAAUUACUUCAGAUGUUUAAUUUUUCGUUAUCAAACAAUCUGAAUGUCUUAAGGUCUGAAUUCAUUAAAUUUAAAUAUUGAAAUGAAUUAUGAAACAGGAUCUGAAUUGGGACUUCUCGACUACAGCCUAGGUUCACUUCAUAGAAUCAUAUAUGUCAUAUCGAUAAUUAAUACGAGAAAACGAUUUGUCAAAGCACUACUGGAUUAAUUAUGCGAAGUAAAAGCUACACACCUAUGGAGUUGAGUCUAAAAGAAAAAUUAACUUGCCAUGCCAGGCAUCCUUGUCGUUCACUUUUUUUUUUUGUCAACACAGGAGUGUCCGGAUCAAGGCCCGAAGGCGUCCUUGUCGUUCACGUUCUAGGUAUUAAUACGUGAAAGUCUACACUCUACAUGUGCAUUUAAAAUUGCCUCCCUCCGCCUCUCCCAUAAAGGCAUAAACUGUUGUGGUGUCUCGCCCUUGUUCCUCCCGCCCAUCGCCUUCCCCUCCGUGAGGUCCACAAGGAAAGGCACCACAAUGUUCAGUGAAAGACCCAUGGCCUCGUACUAUUUUUUUUUUUAGCGAAUUUCGGAAACGGGAAACCCAAUUUGUUUUAGUAGAACUUCCAUGGAUUGUAAAGCGUUAGAGUUUGUUUUAUGCGCAUUCUGCAAAGAACCUGUGCUAAACUUUUUACUUGAACUUCAAGUGUACCUAUUCACCUCUUUUAUGCAUGAUAUCCCCUUUUUUUGCUACUAAAUAUAUAAUGGUGAUUGUAAUCCAAUCGGAGACAAAAUUAAUUAAUUAACAUUAUACAUAACUAUUUAAUAGUUUAAUUAGAAAUUAAUUAUUUAGAAUAUAUAUAUAUAUAAUAUGCCGGGGACGAGGUGGGAAUGAGGCUGGGGACUCUGCCCCCAUUUGAGGGAGAGAAAAAUUCGCCCCACCCACCCUAUUCCUUCCCCAGUAGCCCAAGUACCCGUCUCCAUUAGCAUUUCUACUAAAGGAUUAUUUAGACAAGAUUAAUUUUAUAGACUUUGUUUCUUUUUUUUUUUUGUCAAGAAGUCAAUUGACUUUUACUGACCAAACAAACCUUAAUCCCAGAGCAUACUCCAAAAGCCGGCUAUAGACUUUGUUUCAAUUCACUUUAAUUUCGUAGGUUUUGUUUCAAUUCACAAAUUGUCAAAUGGGAUAGGAGGAUCCAAAUUUAGAAUAACUAUUAACAAAGCGUUAGAGCACCUCAUGGUCUUACAUCAUUAUAUUCUACUCCUAAAUUACCUUUAAACUAAUUUGAAAUAACUUACAUAAAACUAUUAAUUUUCCUCCAAUAUAUAUCCACUUUUCUCUCCUUGUUUUUUUUUAUUUUUAAAUUGUACAAAAUAUCUUAAAUUAUAUGAGUAACCAACAAUCAUGAUUGUGAGUAAUUCAUUGAAUAAUCAUUUAUCCACACAAAUUUAGCUCAUUAGAUUUUCUACGUGUUCACAAUCAAAUUUUUUUUUAAAAAAAGUUAGUUUUGAUAGAAAUUCUAAUAUGUAUAAUUUGUUUUCUGCUAGUUACACAAACAUCAAGAGGGCCUCACCAAACUAGCUAGUUUAGAAUAAUUGUCGGCCAAAUUCUUUCAAGCAAUGUACAACAUUAGUAACAAGUUAUGAAUUACUACAAUCAGUGAAUUGGUGACAAGGUGUAAAAAGCAUAUGUGAAAUGGAGAUGAGAUGUAGAUGCGCAGCGUUUCGAUUUUUUGGAUAUCAUUCAUGGCCAUCCAUCCAAAUCUGCGGAAUGGAAACUUGGCAGACCUCCUCAAUGAAAGUAAACAUUCUAAACAAGUGAACAGAUGCUUAAUCCUUUAUUCUAAACAAGCGGUUGAAUUAGGACGACAGUCAAAAAGAUCUAACUUCCGGAUCUUCCAUCGUUGUCAACCUUCUUAAUUUACUUCCUCGUAUGUGAACAUAAUACGCCCAAUCUACAUACACAAUCACAGCUAUUUUCUGGUCUUUACCUCUUUAGAUGGCUAAAUACAGAGUUAGUUCUUCUUUGCUCAUAAAAACAAUUGUUGGCGAUUUACGAAAUUCAGAAGCAUGCAGACAAACGUGAUUGCACCACAUAUAUAAGACAUAUUCAUACUACUAUUUAUCUCGCGUCACCAUCCCUCAAGAAUUUGGCCAACUUUCUGGCUUCUGCCCCCACAAGUCCACAACAAAGGAUGAUCAUCUUUCGCCAACCUAAUGGCUGGCUGAAAUGCGCAUCAUCUCCGAGCCAAUAAUACAAUACAAUGGAAACCCUAUUGACACCCCUCGCCCCCAACAAAAACCAAAACAAAAAAGGCCUUAUAUUAUUGCAAUGCACAUGUAUACAUGUUCAACAUUCUUCUAAUUGCCAGAGAAAUGGAGCGUAUACAUAUGUAACACAAAUGUAUUUUGAGACCCAAAAAGUAUACAUAUAUAUAUAUAUAUUACAGAAGAAAUUAAACCUAAUAUUUCAUGCUCCUUUUAAUCUAAAAUAAUACCCGCGUAAUGAGAAAUUCAGGUUAUCCCCUUAAGUACACUUGUAACCCCCCCCUCCAUUCUAUAUAUUUUUAAGAUAAGAAAAGCAUUGAUGGAAUUAUCACUUGUAAACACCCUCUUUUUGUUUAACCCUCCUCAAAACCCCCUCAACGGCUAUAUCAAAUGCAUCUUUAAUGCCUUCCAACCCCUCGUUUGGUUUUGCAUACACAAUUCUUGGUAGAUAUUCGAUUACUUUUUCUCUCAUCAUUUUUACCUUCUCUUUGCUUAUGCUCUCAAGGACCGCUCUAAUUGACGUGGUUCCAUUCUGCACCUCUCCCCUGUGUAUGAACACCGAGUAACUGUCCGGUUGACUGGGUAAAAACCAAGCGUACUGCAUGUAAGCCGUUCUCCUCCAGAAGAAAACCGGGAUUGAACCGGCCACCAUGCAAUCAAAAAUGGACCGACGAGUGAAACUGUCACCCCUCGGCUGUAAACAAAAGUCCGAGUCCAGAAACGAUUCGAGAAUUGCUGAAGUCCCGUUAGAGCACUUGGAGCCGGUGCAAUCCACGACUCGGCAAGCGUCCGAGUUGUUGUAGCACUGACUCAGUAACAGUCCUCUAAAGUCGUUCCUGUAAAACCCGCGUGUGCCUCCCGCGAAGCAGUAUAGAGUCUUCCGCUGAUGCUGGCGUACAAAAUCCUGCCAGCCCAUGACGUCAGAGGCUGUGCUGGGGUGGAAUCCGGUGGGAUAUGGCACACCGACAUCGAAAUAGUCCCACGGGUUGCGCUCUAUCAACAAGCGCGUGAUGUUUCUCAUUCCAGGCAUGUAAAUACAGCUGGAUCCCCAGACGCGGCCUUCGAUUCGGCGGAAAUCCCAUGUGAUCCGGCCCAUUGUAAUAAAAUGAUCCCAGCCGUGGGAUCUGUUCCAGUAAGGCUGAUUAUUCACCCAAUCCAGCAUCAUCUCGCAGUACCGAUCGCGGUCCUCGAAUGUAUGAUUAUACCAUAGGUACUUUCCCACUGCUAGUCCCGCGUAAAAAGGUAUGUAGAACGCAGUAGCAGAUUCGGGCUCCAAACUUCUGCAACGAUAAUUCAUCAUUCGGUUGUGGUGAAGGAUCUCCAAAGCAAAUUGGUCAGUCCAGUGCCAUGCAUGCCUGAGAUUUUCGGGGACAAGUUUUGAAAUCCCAUUUGCGACUUUUCCGAAGCCGUGAUUCGAAAACAAGUCGCAGCCUGAGUUCCAGGGGCUCAGCUCAUGGCAAUUUUUUAGCAAUUCAUGGUUAAAAAAUGAUGGGAGGUCAUAAACGUAGACUUUACCAUAUGGGCAGAGGACGUUCAAGUUCAGGGCCGUUUGGUUAGAGCCAUCAACAUCAAGGGUGGCGGAGUGACCAGGUGUGACGGUAGUGGAAGGAGGGAAGAGGAUUUUUGAGGGGUGGGAAGUGGGGAAGAAAGGGAGAGAGCGAGCGGAGAGGAGGAGGAAUAUGUGGAGGAGGAGAAUGGCGAGGGGGAGGCAUGUACCAGGAUGGUGAAAUGAGAGGUAAGGCUGAAAUAAGUUGGAGUAGUUCUUUCGGUUUGAUGAUAAUUCGGGGUUUUUGGGUUUUGAAGGAGGUUUAGAAGGAGGGGUUGUCAUAGAUAUAGGAAGCAUGAGAACAAGGAGGAGAAGCGUAUUCCGAUACCUAGAAAGCAGGAAAAAAAAGCGUGGUAACGGCGAACUUUGGCCGGGAAAUCUCGUGGUGGCGGUUGAUAGGAAAAAAGAGAGGUGGGAGAAUUAGAUAGAGGAGAGAAGAGACGGGACUUCAGUUUUGUAAAGCGACGAAGGCUCAAGGCUGGGGUUGAGCAGACAAGUGAGAACUGAGAACAGUGGAAUGCGAAAUCAACUCUCGUCUACUCACUGCAGUGUAAAACACUAAAUAUAAGUCAAGCAAGACUAAGAGCAGUAGCAGUACAUAAUUUUCCGUUAUAUUUCCCAAAGCCGAAAGCUUGCAAGAUAAAGCUUUGGCUAUUUCUAAAACAGUAGAAACCAUUCACACCUACAACUUCUUUGCAAUGUGCUGUUGUUGUUUAAAGGAAAGUUAAGGGGAAGAAAAAAAAGACAGGUUGUUCAAUAGAGAAUACAGAACAGAGUUGCAUUUUGUGUCAAGUUUCGUAUUCAGAAUUCAAUUAUUCUCACUCUAUGAGCUAGCGGGGAAAAGGAGAAAAAAGACAGAGAAAAACGAAAGCGACAUGCAUUAUUGCCAUGUGUUGCAAAAUUGCCACGUUAAUGCGUGAAGUGAAAGGAAUAUGCAUGGAUGGAACAGCUGCUGUUUAAUCAUUAAUGGGGUGUAGUCCCGGGACGAUUAAGGACGAAGAAUCAAUCAUAUAUCCUUCUGAUUUUGAGGUCCCGGCACGAUUAAGGACUGAGGACAGGACAGGACAGGUCACGGGACAGGAGCAGCAACAAGAUGUGCCGGCCGGAAGUCUUGCGAUGCGAAACUUUGGAACAUGCAUUGCAUCCCUUCAGUUGUGGUAUCAAUGUCAUGGGACAUCUACACAAGGGCCGUCCACAGAACUGGACAUGGGCCAUCUGAGCGGGCCCAAAGCCGAUAUUCACAAAAAUUUUCAAUCUCUGGAAUUACUCUUUUCUAAUCACGACUUCAUAUAUGGGAGUAACAAAAUAGUAGUACUGUAGUAGUGUAUAAUUUCACAAUUCAAGUCAUGAACAAAAUUUAUACAUCUUAGACCAAUACAGCUUAUUACUGCUAUUGUUUUUAGUAGGGAAAUGAUGGAAUUUAAUUACAUUUUAAAUAUUUUGUUUAAAUUACUUUCCUAUCCCCCGUUUAAGCAGCCUUUUGAAAUUAAAUUGGCAACAAAAGAUGAGUUCUUUUGCUUAGUUUUGGCUGAGAUAAUAAAAUGCUUCUAAGUUGUAACAAUUCCAAGACUUCUCAUUAUAUUAAUCUUUCGAUCAAGCCACCCCUGCGUUUCCCAUGAAUCAGCACAUCCCACCCACUCGUGGGCUGCGGGUCUCUGUUUCUCCUUGUUAAUUUUCUUUUCCGUCAAUAUUUGUUGUCUCCUUCACAGAACAAAUUGGGCAGGAAAAGGGAAAAAAAACUCAAAAUAAGAGGAAUCAUCGUGUUGCUUAAACUCGAUCAUCUCUGUCUCAGCAUCUGUUACUUUUCUUCCUUUGAAAUUUUCAUCGGACGUAUAUUCAAGUAGGACUCUGCUUGUCGCCUGUAUCCGUCCAUUGCGCAAAACGAGAUAGCAUCAAAUUAUCUCCGAUGUCUUCUUGGGACUUUUCAGUUCAACUCUGGAUCUACUACCGUCUGUAAAGAGAUACACUUGGCCAGCCAAAUUAAUUCAUUUUAUGCCAGUCCAGCCCACCCUGUCCUCGUCAAUUUUCAAUUCAAAUAAAACGAAGAAAUAUUGGAUUCCACAAAGAACCAAUUGCUGGUUUAGAUGCUGUUUUGUCAUCCUCGAGGGGUGAAACGGGAACUACAUCCAGAACAAACAAGAACGGUAAAAGUAGCCUCCACGUGGUUGGUUCAGUGAUGAUCACGAUCCUUUGGAACACAAAGGUCUCGGAAUUGAAACUGUCUCCUGGGACAUCCGGUGAUUCGCCCGGAUAAACGUUGUGUUGGUCGCAGCGUUGCCCUCCUAUUUGGUGUGCCGACUCGGAUUCAAAGUACUCAGGUCGAACAUGUUCUGGGUUACCAAAAUAUAUAUAUAUAUAUAUAUUGCACUAGUCUUUUCCUUGUAGCAAUAUGCAAUCGUCAGAUGGAAUAAGAAACAACACUCGCUGUAUGCCAAAAACAACAGUGAGAUAAAUGGAAUUGAAGCAUUAUGCGGCGAUGCAAUCAGCACAGGUAUGCUGUGCAGCUCACAACAUUCAUCCUGUCCCCAGUGUUGAUCUCCUAAUAUGUACUUGCUUCGGAUGUCUAGGACUUCUAAAAUUAUACCCUUUCCGCACCAGCUUUCGGAGACAUGAAAGUUUCUAUCAGUUUGGUAUCCAAUAAAGCAAUUAACUCAAAAGACCAGAGCAGGGCAUAAGCUCACUUUCAACCAACCCCAUAAAUAGAAAAAGUAAAGAUUGAUCAUGGAUGGAGAAUAGAUACUCGUUAAAACUACAUAGGUCUUGAACAAAGCAAGUUCUGAUCGAACUAGUUAAAAUCAGAAGGAAUUUCCACUACAGGAAUUAUUACAACUCCAGAUAAAGAUCAUAUUACAUUAAGAGCAUACAAAGAUUUCCCCAACAGAACACGAUAUACUGUGCUGCACCAAGUUUGGAAUAUUCGAGAAUGUAUAGUGCUAUAUCAUUACCAUUCACUG
This 22668-nucleotide long non-coding RNA is filed under the name Coffea arabica (coffee). Its description in RNAcentral is "long non-coding RNA (CARA_LNC001484)". The record is from RNAcentral. Lineage: Eukaryota; Viridiplantae; Streptophyta; Magnoliopsida; Gentianales; Rubiaceae.